RNAcentral lists this ribosomal RNA (612 nucleotides) under uncultured bacterium. RNAcentral describes it as "bacterial SSU rRNA". It matches the Rfam family "Bacterial small subunit ribosomal RNA", at positions 91 to 737 of the family's 1533-position model. The record is from RNAcentral.
GAAACUGGCGCACGGGUGAGUAACGCGUGGGAAUCUACCCCGGGGUGGGGAAUAACCGCUGGAAACGGCGGCUAAUACCGCAUACGCCUUGAGAGGGAAAGCUUUAUGCGCCCUGGGAUGAGCCCGCGUCGGAUUAGCUUGUUGGUGAGGUAACGGCUCACCAAGGCUUCGAUCCGUAGCUGGUCUGAGAGGAUGAUCAGCCACACUGGGACUGAGACACGGCCCAGACUCCUACGGGAGGCAGCAGUGGGGAAUAUUGGACAAUGGGGGCAACCCUGAUCCAGCCAUGCCGCGUGCGUGAAGAAGGCCUUAGGGUUGUAAAGCGCUUUCGGCGGGGAAGAUGAUGACGGUACCCGCAGAAGAAGCCCCGGCUAACUCCGUGCCAGCAGCCGCGGUAAUACGGAGGGGGCAAGCGUUGUUCGGAAUUACUGGGCGUAAAGGGCGCGUAGGCGGAUUAUCAAGUCAGAGGUGAAAGCCCUGGGCUCAACCUGGGAACUGCCUUUGAAACUGAUAGUCUUGAGUCCGAGAGAGGAUGGCGGAAUUCCCAGUGUAGAGGUGAAAUUCGUAGAUAUUGGGAAGAACACCAGUGGCGAAGGCGGCCAUCUGGCUCGG